AGCGAACGCUGGCGGCAGGCUUAAUACAUGCAAGUCGAGCGAAUGGAUUAAGAGCUUGCUCUUAUGAAGUUAGCGGCGGACGGGUGAGUAACACGUGGGUAACCUGCCCAUAAGACUGGGAUACUCCGGGAAACCGGGGCUAAUACCGGAUAACAUUUUGAACCGCAUGGUUCGAAAUUGAAAGGCGGCUUCGGCUGUCACUUAUGGAUGGACCCGCGUCGCAUUAGCUAGUUGGUGAGGUAACGGCUCACCAAGGCAACGAUGCGUAGCCGACCGGAGAGGGUGAUCGGCCACACGGGGACUGAGACACGGCCCAGACUCCUACGGGAGGCAGCAGUAGGGAAUCUUCCGCAAUGGACGAAAGUCUGACGGAGCAACGCCGCGUGAGUGAUGAAGGCUUUCGGGUCGUAAAACUCUGUUGUUAGGGAAGAACAAGUGCUAGUUGAAUAAGCUGGCACCUUGACGGUACCUAACCAGAAAGCCACGGCUAACUACGUGCCAGCCGCCGCAGUAA
This 514-nucleotide ribosomal RNA is filed under the name uncultured bacterium. RNAcentral describes it as "partial 16S ribosomal RNA". It matches the Rfam family "Bacterial small subunit ribosomal RNA", at positions 29 to 523 of the family's 1533-position model. The record is from RNAcentral.